GAAUACUUAGCUCAAUGGUUAGAGCAUCACUCAUGAAUGCUGAGGUUGUGAGUUUGAUUCCCACAAUACACA
Molecule: transfer RNA, 72 nt
Organism: Puccinia sorghi
Lineage: Eukaryota; Fungi; Basidiomycota; Pucciniomycetes; Pucciniales; Pucciniaceae
Rfam family: tRNA
About the family: Transfer RNA (tRNA) molecules are approximately 80 nucleotides in length.
Source: Rfam